RNAcentral lists this ribosomal RNA (485 nucleotides) under uncultured bacterium. Its description in RNAcentral is "bacterial SSU rRNA". It matches the Rfam family "Bacterial small subunit ribosomal RNA", at positions 29 to 521 of the family's 1533-position model. The record is from RNAcentral.
AACGAACGCUGGCGGCGCGCCUAAUACAUGCAAGUCGAGCGAGAAGACGUAGCAAUACGUUUGUAAAGCGGCGAACGGGUGAGGAAUACAUGGGUAACCUACCCUCGAGUGGGGAAUAACUAGCCGAAAGGUUAGCUAAUACCGCGUACGCUCCUUGGACUUCGGUUCAGGGAGGAAAGCGAUACCGUGGGUAUCGCGCUCUUGGAUGGGCUCAUGUCCUAUCAGCUUGUUGGUGAGGAACGGCUCACCAAGGCUUCGACGGGUAGCUGGUCUGAGAGGAUGACCAGCCACAUUGGGACUGAGACACGGCCCAGACUCCUACGGGAGGCAGCAGUGGGGAAUAUUGCGCAAUGGGCGAAAGCCUGACGCAGCGACGCCGCGUGUGGGAUGAAGGUCUUCGGAUUGUAAACCACUGUCGGGAGGGACGAAGCUCUGACGGUACCUCCAAAGGAAGCACCGGCUAACUCUGUGCCAGCCGCCGCGGU